UCUAGAACUCGAGAUAUGGGUUGAACACUUUAGUGUCUGGGUUGUAGGACAGAUUCUGACUUCUCUGUCGUUGCUACCAUUUGAACUUGAAAACGAUCCUUUUGAAUCUUGGACUCUUCAUGAAAGUUUUAGGCCUAUGUCUUAGCUUUCUAUC
Non-coding RNA from Populus trichocarpa (black cottonwood), 154 nucleotides. Lineage: Eukaryota; Viridiplantae; Streptophyta; Magnoliopsida; Malpighiales; Salicaceae. The record is from Rfam.